RNAcentral lists this long non-coding RNA (607 nucleotides) under Bos indicus x Bos taurus (hybrid cattle). RNAcentral's name for it is "lncRNA (ENSBIXG00000024578.1)". The record is from RNAcentral. Lineage: Eukaryota; Metazoa; Chordata; Mammalia; Artiodactyla; Bovidae.
AGACUCUCCAAAACAAAGGACAAUGAGUUUCACUAUACUUCCCCAAUGAUCCCAGCAUGCGACAAUGCCAGGCAAUGGCCCCUGGGCAUGCGGUGAUGGGAACUAAUGUAUGGAAGAAAAAGUCACAAACCACAGAAAUUUGUAAAGAACCCCUCCCCCCCCAUACAUACACACUCAGAUACAUAAUAGAAUUACAGGGUGAGCAAUACACUUAUGAGGAGAUUAGGACAGGAAUUCUGCUGUUAAGAGGAAAGAUAGGUAAGCAAAGGGAGAGUUCCUAACCACUGUCAACUAUAUGGUAGGGAGAAUUCUCUCCCUCAAAACGAAAAUAGUCUAUCCCCUCAGGGCACCUGUUAGACCUAGCCCACCUCAUACUCAAUCAGGGGGCCACUGCCCUAAUAAUGGGGGGGCAAAAAAAAAAAAAGAAAACAAAACAAACUUAAAAGAAGUCAAGGAAAGGGAAACUGGGCAGGCUUCAGAAGCAGGAGAAUCAAGAGAUAAAUUAAAACUGGUCAGCAUUAAUAGGAUUUCAAAGCUGACCCAACGGAAUACACUUAUACAAGGAUCUGAAUUCCUAAAUUCUCCACGUCGGGUUUUUAAAGGGUAG